GACCAUCCAAUUCUUGGGCCAAAAGGCCCAAAUUUCUCAACUCCUCAAACCCAGGUUCAUGGCCACUCGGGCGUUACUUCUCGCGUUCAAACAAGAACAAGGACAAAACGCUCACCUUGGAUGCGAGAAAAAUCUUCCUUGGCGGCGUUCGCGAGCACUCCGAUUCAAGUCAUCGUCGCUGAUUCGCGUUUCCCUCAAGAUGGAAAGUGAAAGACGUCGAGUUCGGGCGUGGAACGAAGAUCCAAAGGGCGUGUUGUGGUUGUUGGAUCGAGACGAAGGCGAUGAAGGGAAACACGAUACGAAGUUUGGGAUAUGAAGACCCAGGUUCUGUGUGUUGAACAUUUUCUUUUAUAGAAGAAAGGUAGACCCUUGCGUGCGCGUCCGUGGCCGAGCGAAGCGAAGAUGGAGAUGACAACACGUCGAUGGUGAAAAAUCUGAAGAUUGUUGCGUAAUGAGGUUUCGAAGGGUGAAAUUUAAUUGAAAGGAAACAAGACUCGAUCGAGAUACUUCCACAAAACUUGGCAAAGCAUAGUCAAGACAACAAGUUUGAAACCUUAUAGGUAGAUUUUUGAUUGAAAUUAUAAUGUGAUUGGUUUAACAUGUAUGGAAUCGAACUUUGUAGAAUGGAAUUGAAUUGAUUGGAAUAUGAUUGGAAUUUUUAGAAUUGGAAAUAUAAUGGGUUAAGUUGGAAUUGAGAUGUAAUUUUGAAAUGGGAUUGGAAUUACAUAAUGUAUGAUUAUUUAUGGUUUUUAAAUGGAAAUGGUGUAUUAAGACAA
This is a long non-coding RNA of Lathyrus oleraceus (garden pea), 776 nucleotides long. RefSeq lists it as uncharacterized. The transcript is spliced from 2 exons. The record is from RefSeq and is a predicted model, not a curated record. Lineage: Eukaryota; Viridiplantae; Streptophyta; Magnoliopsida; Fabales; Fabaceae.